GUAGCAUAAUCAUUAGGUUUUUAAUUGGAAUCUUGUAUGAAUGAUUGGACAAAAGAAGUACUGUCUUUGUAUUGAAACUUGAAUUUAACUUUUAAGUGAAAAGGCUUAAAUAUACUAAAGGGACGAUAAGACCCUAUAAAACUUUACAUUUAUAUUAAAUUUUAUGGAAUUUGAAAUUAUAACUAUUAAGUUUAAUUUUUUGUUAUGUUGGGGAGACAAAAGCUAUAAUUAUUUAUAACUGCUUUUAAAGGAAACAAAAAUAAAUGGGGAGAGUUAAAGAUCCUUUAUUGAGAUUGUAAGAUUAAGUUACUUUAGGGAUAACAGCGUUAUUUUUUUUGAGAGUUCAUAUUGAAAAAAAAGAUUGCGACCUCGAUGUUGAAUUAAAAUAUCUUU
This 393-nucleotide ribosomal RNA is filed under the name Potamonautes perlatus. RNAcentral describes it as "partial 16S ribosomal RNA". The record is from RNAcentral. Lineage: Eukaryota; Metazoa; Arthropoda; Malacostraca; Decapoda; Potamonautidae.